Daktulosphaira vitifoliae (grape phylloxera) is the source of this 969-nucleotide long non-coding RNA. RefSeq lists it as uncharacterized. NCBI's taxonomy places the organism in Eukaryota, Metazoa, Arthropoda, Insecta, Hemiptera, Phylloxeridae. The record is from RefSeq and is a predicted model, not a curated record. The transcript is spliced from 3 exons.
UUGUUAAUAGACAUUUUUUGUUAAUGUGUAAUCGUUAUUGUAUAAAACAUGUAUACACAUAAUCUAUUACAUAUAUCUGUAUACAAAUAUUUAGAAAUCGAGAGUUUAAAAUUAAUUAUUAUGAUAUUAAAGUGAAAUUACUUAAGUGAUGAAGAAAAGAGUUAGUAUACGGGGAUAUGUGUCCUAUGAUUUGCUGACCCCCUAUGAAAAUAUGUGAUUUUUCCGCAUAAAUGAGCAUGAAAUCGUUGAUAAAGUCACAGUGUCAUCAAGAACCAUCAGCUCUAAAAAGAAGACUCUACUCUAUGAAUAAUAUGGCUGCCGAACCUGUAAGAAAACAGCGCUACAUUUAUAUCGCACCAACACCGCCAGCCAAGAUGAUUGACUCUAGCAGUUACACUAUUGCGUUCAGCGACAGAAAAUUUUUGCAAGUGGGCCUGAAUCCAAAGGAUGACUUCAAUGUUAUGUGUCGAGUGUUAUUAAAUAACGAAAACAUUAAUAGACUUAUGGACUUACAGUGUACUAUUAACAGUGCAAUAUCAAGAAAAAUAAAAACACGUUUACUAUUAAACCAUCAAAUAGACCGCAUAAUAUAAUACGCCGACGGUAAAUGGUCGGGCCCUAAAAUUCAACAAUCAAACAAUGAUGAAAUAGUUAAUUUUAUAAGAAGUUUGAACGAUAAAGAAAUAUGUGAUACUUUUCCUAAAGGUGACAGUAAUUACAUAAGUAAGCUGAAGAAUUUAGCAUACAGUGUAAUAGUUGAUCGUUGGGUCAAGUUAUGGUCCAAAGACAUGCUUCAAAUUAAUGAAAAAGAAGAAGAAAUGUGCGAUGAAAAUGAUGGACCAACAUUUUUCAAUACAACAGUGUUUACCCAAGAAAAUAGUUAUAGUCCAUGGGCUUCACAAUGGCCGAAACCCAAUCAUAUCAGAAAAUUAACCUACAUUAGUAAUUUAUAAACAAUAACUUUAUAUA